This 110-nucleotide non-coding RNA is filed under the name Saccharopolyspora erythraea. RNAcentral's name for it is "TPP sequence". It matches the Rfam family "TPP riboswitch aptamer (THI element)". Rfam says of the family: Vitamin B(1) in its active form thiamin pyrophosphate (TPP) is an essential coenzyme that is synthesised by coupling of pyrimidine and thiazole moieties in bacteria. The previously detected thiamin-regulatory element, thi box was extended, resulting in a new, highly conserved RNA secondary structure, the THI element, which is widely distributed in eubacteria and also occurs in some archaea. Analysis of operon structures identified a large number of new candidate thiamin-regulated genes, mostly transporters, in various prokaryotic organisms. RNAcentral also lists the same sequence under 1 other name. The record is from RNAcentral. Lineage: Bacteria; Bacillati; Actinomycetota; Actinomycetes; Pseudonocardiales; Pseudonocardiaceae.
GGCGGUGAGCACGGGAGUCCGCGGAUGCCGGACUGAGAGGGGGCGCCAAGGCCCCGACCGUCGAACCUGAUCCGGGUCAUGCCGGCGCAGGGAGCGUGGAGUUGUCUGAA